CCUUGAUGACUGGCGGGACCCUCCCAGGGCUCUGCAUCCAGCGAUCCCACACAACCUCAGUCCUGGGAGGGGCUGCUGCCAUGCCCGGCCCCCACAGGGCUCUGCAGCAAACACAGAGCAAAAGCACAGCUGCCACUGGAGAGGCAGCAUUUUUUGGCUGGAGCACGGACUGGAGCUCUGUACAGCAGGACCUUUUUUCAAAAGGCACUACAAAGAUGCCUUAUCAGUCUUUAUAUAUGAUCAUAAUGUGGAGCAUAUAUCAACGGGAUUCUUCAGAGCUGGAGAAGAAUUGCAAUCUCUGAGCACUUGCACAAUCCUGAGUGGCAAGCCAGGGGCAAGCAGGUUGCAAAGGCCUCACCAUCCAUGUCACAGGUUGUGCUUCCCCUAAGGCUGACAGCAACCAUCACCCCCUUUUGCAAGCACAUCAUUUGGCAUGCUUUGGUUUGGAAGACCAAACUACAUCCUAGUAAUGCAUUUCCCUAACAAGUCAGCUCUUAUGUGAAUUCAAAAUGACACCAAUUUCACAGCUAUCUCUCAUGGCACAAGCAAAUUUCAAAAUUAUUCACAGAAAUUUUAUAAUGUUUUCCUUCUGGGUGUGAAACAGAGAAAGAAUCUUCAAAUUCAUAUCAUCCAAUGCUUCAGUCUUAUUUCUUGAAAUGCCCCAAACUGCUCAAUUUCAAGCUGUUUUAGUGUUAAGAUGCAUUUUCCUUUGUCUUCUAAAAGUCUGAGGAAGGUUAAACGCCUCUUCUUUGCUACAGGCUGUGCUAUGUAGAUCAUAUCUCCUGUGAUUUAACUCUGCUUAGUCAGAAAGGAACCACCAUCAUGUACCAUUUUGCUUUAUUCUUAAAGUUCAGCUGGCUAGAGAAGAGGGUGAAAAUGAUAACUCCCCUUACCCUA
Molecule: long non-coding RNA, 897 nt
Organism: Passer domesticus (house sparrow)
Lineage: Eukaryota; Metazoa; Chordata; Aves; Passeriformes; Passeridae
Exons: 4
Source: RefSeq, a predicted model, not a curated record